GGGGCCCUGAGAGGGGGAUCCCCCACACUGGUACUGAGACACGGACCAGACUCCUACGGGAGGCAGCAGUGAGGAAUAUUGGACAAUGGGCGAGAGCCUGAUCCAGCCAUGCCGCGUGCAGGAAGACUGCCCUAUGGGUUGUAAACUGCUUUUAUACAGGAAGAAACCUUUUCACGUGUGAAAAGCUGACGGUACUGUAAGAAUAAGGAUCGGCUAACUCCGUGCCAGCAGCCGCGGUAAUACGGAGGAUCCAAGCGUUAUCCGGAAUCAUUGGGUUUAAAGGGUCCGUAGGUGGAUAAUUAAGUCAGGGGUGAAAGUUUGCAGCUCAACUGUAAAAUUGCCUUUGAUACUGGUUAUCUUGAAUUAUUGUGAAGU
RNAcentral lists this ribosomal RNA (375 nucleotides) under uncultured Winogradskyella sp. RNAcentral's name for it is "bacterial SSU rRNA". It matches the Rfam family "Bacterial small subunit ribosomal RNA", at positions 286 to 658 of the family's 1533-position model. Lineage: Bacteria; Pseudomonadati; Bacteroidota; Flavobacteriia; Flavobacteriales; Flavobacteriaceae. The record is from RNAcentral.